This 171-nucleotide unclassified non-coding RNA is filed under the name uncultured Saccharomycetales. Its description in RNAcentral is "sequence contains ITS2". The record is from RNAcentral. Lineage: Eukaryota; Fungi; Ascomycota; Saccharomycetes.
CAUUCUCAAAUCCAUGGAUUUAGUGUUGAGCAGUUUUGUCGACAAGACAAUUGCUUGAAAUGAAUUUUGGCAGAGGCGACUAUACAAGCUUUUACAACGUAUUAGGUUUUACCAUCUCGUUGGAAAUAUACGGCGAACAUAGUAGCUUUGGCGUUAUAACAAACUCAAAAA